GAGAGAGUGAAGGUGAGAGUGGCUGCAGCUUGUGGGCUAGAGGGCCAUACAGGGGAAGAGAUUGGACUUUGGUGAGACCCAACCAGGAGGCCAAGGGCCUGACCCCCUUCUGCCUGGCAAGGGGGGAGCAAGUGGCUGCUGGAAAGCCCAGAGAUGACAGCAAGACAGGAAUGCAGUAGACAGACAAAUGUGCCAAGUUGUGAUGGAGGUGGGGCGAUAUGUCCUAUGAUCAGCUCUUCUCCUGAAGAAUACAUCUCUUCUCUAAAGCAUGUUCGGGAGGUAGUCCCAGCAGCCCCACUCCUAUCCUAGAGGACUGCACUUGUGAGUAGUAUUGAAGGCCCAAGGCGUUUUCCCCAACAAGGAGUUUCCAAUAUGGAAGAACUUAAUUGGGUGGGUGGGAAUCCCCACCCCCCAAUUUGUUAAAAUAAUACUAUUUCUAAGGGAUACAAAAAAACAAAACAAAACAAAAAAACCUCUACCUUUGAGUAAAAAUAAUUAGUGGGAUUGUGUAUAUUGUCUUAUUGAAACUAUUUGUACUUAAUGGGAAUAUUUUAUGCUGUUUGCCCCUAGAGCCAGCUAAUCUUUGUUCUGUCUCUAUGUUUACUUAGCUCUCCUUUGAUAUGGUAUCCCUUUGCUCUGCCAGUAGCUAUUCUAGAUGUCGUUUUCAAAUUCAUGCAGCUGAAAAUUGUACUAUUCCACCCAUUGUUUUUUAUUAUUUGUGGACUUUCAGAUUCACUGGUCCAAAUCCCAUUGAAGACAAUAAUAGUAGUGUCCAUGCAUCUCAGGGCAAAUUUUGGACUGCAGUUUGAUCUGCAUCAGUGCAAGCAAUAUAUCU
Long non-coding RNA from Chelonia mydas (Green sea turtle), 835 nucleotides. RefSeq lists it as uncharacterized. The transcript is spliced from 3 exons. The record is from RefSeq and is a predicted model, not a curated record. NCBI's taxonomy places the organism in Eukaryota, Metazoa, Chordata, Testudines, Cheloniidae.